This 243-nucleotide small RNA is filed under the name Arabidopsis thaliana (thale cress). RNAcentral's name for it is "ATSL048420". The record is from RNAcentral. Lineage: Eukaryota; Viridiplantae; Streptophyta; Magnoliopsida; Brassicales; Brassicaceae.
UCUUGAUUGGAUUUAUGAUUGUUGCAGGAAGCUACAGAGAUAUUGGUUAAGCAGCUGGAGCAGUUGAAAGCAGAGGAGAAGAUAUUGAAGAAACAGAGGAAAGAAGAGAAGGCUAAAGCCAAAGCCAUGAAGAAGAUGACUGAAAUGGACUCUGAAUCAUCUUCUUCGUCUGAAUCAAGUGAUAGUGAUUGUGAUAAAGGCAAAGUUGUGGACAUGAGCUCUUUAAGAAACAAGGCUAAACCG